CAGAAAAUAGUUUAUUUAAAAUAUUAAUUUUGGAGAUUAAAGAUAGAUUUAUUUCUUUUUCUGA
RNAcentral lists this transfer RNA (64 nucleotides) under Curculionoidea sp. 18 KM-2017. RNAcentral's name for it is "tRNA-Pro". Lineage: Eukaryota; Metazoa; Arthropoda; Insecta; Coleoptera. The record is from RNAcentral.